GACGAACCGUGCGAACGUUAUUCGGAAUUACUGGGCGUAAAGGGCUCGUAGGCGGCCAACUAAGUCGGAUGUGAAAUCCCCAGGCUUAACCUGGGAACUGCAUCCGAUACUGGAUGGCUUGAAUCCGGGAGAGGGAUGCAGAAUUCCAGGUGUAGCGGUGAAAUGCGUAGAUAUCGUAAGGAAGACCAGUGGCGAAGGCGGGUCUCUGGACAGUUCCUGACGCUGAGGCACGAAGGCCAGGGGAGCAAACGGG
Molecule: ribosomal RNA, 253 nt
Filed under: uncultured bacterium
Lineage: Bacteria
Description: partial 16S ribosomal RNA
Rfam family: Bacterial small subunit ribosomal RNA
Source: RNAcentral